UGGGGAAUAUUGCACAAUGGGCGAAAGCCUGAUCCAGCCAUGCCGCGUGGGUGAAGAAGGCCUUCGGGUUGUAAAGCCCUUUUGUUGGGGAAGAAAUCCUGCUGGCUAAUACCCGGCGGGGAUGACGGUACCCAAAGAAUAAGCGCCGGCUAACUACGUGCCAGCAGCCGCGGUAAUACGUAGGGCGCGAGCGUUGUCCGGAUUCACUGGGCGUAAAGGGCUCGUAGGCGGCCUGUCGCGUCGGCUGUGAAGGUCCGGAGCUCAACUCCGGGAUUGCAGCCGAUACGGGCAGGCUAGAGGGCGGUAGAGGGGAGUGGAAUUCCCGGUGUAGCGGUGAAAUGCGCAGAUAUCGGGAGGAACACCAGUGGCGAAGGCGGCCACCUGGACGGUGACUGACGCUGAGGCGCGAAAGCGUGGGGAGCGAACAGGAUUAGAUACCC
This 440-nucleotide ribosomal RNA is filed under the name uncultured bacterium. RNAcentral describes it as "bacterial SSU rRNA". It matches the Rfam family "Bacterial small subunit ribosomal RNA", at positions 355 to 787 of the family's 1533-position model. The record is from RNAcentral.